Molecule: ribosomal RNA, 422 nt
Filed under: uncultured bacterium
Lineage: Bacteria
Description: partial 16S ribosomal RNA
Rfam family: Bacterial small subunit ribosomal RNA
Source: RNAcentral
GAAUAUUGGACAAUGGGGGCAACCCUGAUCCAGCCAUGCCGCGUGUGUGAAGAAGGCCUUUUGGUUGUAAAGCCCUUUAAGCAGUGAAGAAGACUCCAUGGUUAAUACCCAGGGACGAUGACAUUAGCUGCAGGAUAAGCCCCGGCCAACUCCGUGCCAGCAGCCGCGGUAAUUCCGGGGGUGCAAGCGUUAAUCGGAAUUACUGGGGGUAAAGCGAGCGUAGGUGGCUUGAUAAGUCAGAUGUGAAAUCCCCGGGCUUAACCUGGGAACUGCAUCUGAUACUGUUAGGCUAGGAUAGGUGAGAGGAAGGUAGAAUUCCAGGUGUAGCGGUGAAAUGCGUAGAGAUCUGGAGGAAUACCGAUGGCGAAGGCAGCCUUCUGGCAUCAUAUUGACACUGGGGUUCGAAAGCGUGGGUAGCAAAC